Mus musculus (house mouse) is the source of this 919-nucleotide long non-coding RNA. RefSeq annotates it as predicted gene, 30522. The record is from RefSeq and is a predicted model, not a curated record. The transcript is spliced from 3 exons. Lineage: Eukaryota; Metazoa; Chordata; Mammalia; Rodentia; Muridae.
GCCUGCCUUGUGUGGCCAGGAUGUAAUAAGAAUGAAAUGAAGCCUGGGACAGCAACAUCAUCAACCAUAGAGCUCUAUGAAUGUCAGGCUACGUGGGCCACCUUCUGCCAUACAGAGCAUGCUCGAUCCUUAGAAGCCUAGACCUCCAUUUACAAGCACAGGACUCCAAGCCUUGCGGACUUAGAGAAGGGUGGAGCCUGAAGGAUGACUAAGAAAGUCAAGCCAAGAGAGAGCCUCCGAAUGCCAUGCCCAGGUCUGGACCAUAUGGCCAUCAUCACAGAAACCCAGGAAGCCAUCUCUGCAGAGUACACUUGCCCCAGCCCUCCAUCUUUUGGGACUCAGAUCCUCUGGCCCCAAGCUUGAGUGCUCAGCCCUGAAUCAGCCCAUCCAGUUAGCCCUCUACGCAGCUGCCUCAGGCCAGAGACUCUUCUGCAACCCCAGUGGCCUCCAGAGUAUUCCAGUGUUCAGUACAGACUGCUGCUGCCCUGAGUCACAAGCAUUGAUCACGUCAUUAACUCCCCGCAUGAAUUCUUCGAUUCAGUACUCACAGCCAUCUCAGUGUUAGGCUUGGCAUUCCCAGCCUGUAGAUGGGAAACCCGAGGCCCAGAGAGAAGCACAACUUGCCAAGGCACCCAGCUGCCAUUUAGGAUGGCCGUCACCCAGCUCCCUCUGGCUCUCCAACUUAAAUCCAACACCCUGCCAUCCCCAGCUUCGAGUGGAGAACGAAGGGUACUGUGAGCUGGCUCCUGGCAUCAGAGCUGGACUUGGCACGGACAGACGUCUUCCAGAAACACAGCUGUGUGGAAGAGGCAACAGCUGUCCCUUCAUUUGCCGCUGACACGGCCACACACGGUAAAACACCUGAGGAAAGGCUCCCUGGCUCUCAAACACCAGAGAGAGUAAAAAAUGUAUUAAUCAA